This 497-nucleotide ribosomal RNA is filed under the name uncultured bacterium. Its description in RNAcentral is "partial 16S ribosomal RNA". It matches the Rfam family "Bacterial small subunit ribosomal RNA", at positions 28 to 507 of the family's 1533-position model. The record is from RNAcentral.
GAUGAACGCUGGCGGCGUGCCUAAUACAUGCAAGUCGAGCGAACGGACGAGAAGCUUGCUUCUCUGAUGUUAGCGGCGGACGGGUGAGUAACACGUGGAUAACCUACCUAUAAGACUGGGAUAACUUCGGGAAACCGGAGCUAAUACCGGAUAAUAUUUUGAACCACAUGGUUCGAAGGUGAAAGACGGUCUUGCUGUCACUUAUAGCUGGAUCCGCGCUGCAUGAGCUAGUUGGUAAGGUAACGGCUUACCAAGGCAACGAGGCAUAUCCGACCUGAUAGAGUGAUCGGCCACCCUGGAGGUGAGCCACCGUCAAGACGCCUAAGGGAGGCACCAGAAGGGAACCUGCGGCAAUGGGGGAAAGCCUUACGGAGUAACGGGGAGCGAGUGAUGAAGGUGUUCGGAGCGGAAAACUCGGUUAUUAGGGAAGAACAUAUGUGUAAGGAACUGUGCACAGCUUGACGGUAAUGAAUCAGAAAGCCACGGCUAACUACGUG